ACACCUUUAAUAAUACUCCAUUGCAUUUUAUUUUAUUAUUUAAUUUUUUUUUUUGGCUACAAAUACAUUGCAUUCUGCUACCACAAUAGUAGAAAUUGUACUAAAAUACAUCACAAUUUUAACUCUAUCAAAUUGGCAAAACAACGCCAAACCCUAAUCGAUUUUCCAACCAG
Vicia faba (fava bean) is the source of this 173-nucleotide non-coding RNA. NCBI's taxonomy places the organism in Eukaryota, Viridiplantae, Streptophyta, Magnoliopsida, Fabales, Fabaceae. The record is from the annotation of a GenBank genome assembly.